This 268-nucleotide long non-coding RNA is filed under the name Lathyrus oleraceus (garden pea). Its description in RNAcentral is "Pisum sativum (pea) long non-coding RNA (PSAT_LNC023892)". Lineage: Eukaryota; Viridiplantae; Streptophyta; Magnoliopsida; Fabales; Fabaceae. The record is from RNAcentral.
UUCAAUGAGCAUAGGAGCCUCCUAGGAGCAGGGGAUCUCAUGAUUGCUUGAGCUUCAAAACAAAACAGGUUAGUGACAUAUUUUUGUGCUUUUGGUUAGUAAAAAAGAUAAGAAAAGAAAUAAUAUACAAUUCAAGCAUGCUUGGUGGUCUCAGGCCAACUCGCACAAGUCCCAACCCUAAGGUAAAGGAGCCACACAUGCUAUGAUCCUUGAGGCAAUGCAAUGAGCAAUGAUAUGAUGUCAUGAGGGAUCUUAGGGUCAAAAUUAG